CCUCCCUUACAAUCUUUUUUUCCUCUCUCUCCUUUUUUUUUUUCUUGCCUUCUCCUUCUUCACUGAAGCCUAGGGGAGCCAGUAAAGAUUAAAUGUGCUUUCUCAAAGGCAGCCACUUCAUGCUGCUAUGUCGAAAGGGCCAUUAUUAUUAUUUUUUUAAUAGUAAAAGAAAAAGGGAGAGAGGUUGAGAGAGAGGGAGAGAGAGAGAGAAGCUAGGUAGGAUGAUGACGGACUAGCUUUUCUGAGAGGAAAAGGAAAAGGGAAGGGAGAGAAAGAGGAGAGACCCUGAGCUGAACGGAGGAUUGUGCCUGAGACGAACCUACCGAGGCGGCACUAGGAGCCGUCUCCGCACAGGAAAGCCCAGCUUCCAAGCAGACGGGGGAAGCGAGGAUCUAUCAGGUACAGAACCAGUAGCUGUCUGCGGAGAUGGAGGAGAAUCAUGCUUCGGAUUCCUCCGAAAUAUUGGCAAAAGGCUUCAAAGGAUCCGCGGCGGGGGAGAUGCGCCUCGCCGGCUCGCGCCCACCCCUUCCCGCUCGCCUCGACCAAGUGACAGCCUGGUGCUGGCUGGGCUGAUUUGGCCUUGGCUUCAGCCAAGCAGCUGAUGCACAGGAGGCCCGUUCGCAGGACUGGCAAAGUGCGCGCUAAAGGAAGAAGAGGAAAUUUUGAAAAGCAGCCCUGGAGAGAGUUCUCAUUCUUCUAAAACAAAUUUUUUUUUAAUUUUUAACUAAAUAUUCUCAAAAUUUGAUCAGUCCCAGUCCCUCCCUCUACUCCCACCGAGUUGCCUUUUCUCCCUCCCUCUCUCGUCAAAGCAUAAGCUACAGAGUUACAGUCUCUAGAUUUGGUGUAUCGCUUCCUGCCCCCGCCUCCCCCUCCCCGCCCAGUUCUCAGUCCUCUAUUGAAACACCUCGCCCAGGCGAGCGCCCUGCAGCUCACAUUUCCCCCCCUGGCUUGGACGGUGCUGCUGGAGGCUGCAGGCAGACUCCGCUUCCAAUGGUGGUGUUGAUGUUCCUUUCAGCUGGUCCUAUAGUCCCCCCUCCUCAGGAAUGUCUCCCCAGUGAAAGGACACAGACCGCAGAGACCGCCGUCCUGAUGGACGCUCAAGCCGACUGUGAAGUUGGAACAAAGAAAGCGAUCACCUGAAGACACCUCUCCUGCCAAGCGACACACCCACACGCUGCAGUUUCAGCCAAUAGAAUCUCAGAAUAAGAGGCAAGCUUUUCAAGAAACAGAAACACUUAAGAAUGACAUGUAGAUUUCCAGUGAGCCAAGAACUUUCCCUUCCUCGUGUGUAUUCCUCUGUUUGUAUUUAAAUUCUGUGUGACAUUCAUUUUUAAAAGACUUUCUUCUAGUAUGACUAUACUUAUUAAUGCACCAAUUUUUAAAAUAGAAAGUUGUUCGUGCCAGAAGUAGGUUGAUUGUUAGCCACACACAGAGUUUGACCUUAAGAGUGACUUAAAGAAUAUAAAGUUCUUUUGAAAUAACAAACGAGUGGGAGGCAAUCCAAAGGAUAAAAUAAUGGCUGGAACUCAGAAUGGGGCAGAGAAAUACAUUAUCCCGCUGAUGCCAGCCAGCCAACCAACCCACCCACCAACCAUUCUUUUUAUCGGGCAAGCUAGGUUCUGUGAGACAUAGUCACUGCCUCUAAAGAGUUUAAACUUAGUUAGACAGAGGCACAUAAACUUUUGCAAAGAGAGGUAAGGAACCGGGUCAAUUGAUAAGACCAAAACCAAACCAAAACAAAAGAUAUAAACAAGGAGCUCAGAGGAGGUCACCUUAAGCUGGGCGAACUGGUCAGUUCAGGGAAGAAAGUUCCCAAAGGAGGAAAAUACAAGAUGAAUCUUAAAGGAUGUUAAAGAUUUAGAUAAAUGGAAAGGAGAGAAAAUAGAGUCCUUUAGAUGGAUGCAAUAAUGUGAGCAAAAUCAGACAGGAGAGCAUCUACAUGCUGGUUUUAGGGAAUUAGGAAUGUAUGUGCCUUGUGGACUGCAUCCCAGCCUUUCGUUGUCAGUGUAUAGAUACACAUAUAUGGUGCAGACUUCGCACACACACUUACCCUCUCCCACCCUGGGUGUAGCCUAGAAUUAUAAUCAUAUUUCUUCCAUUAAAGCAAGUGAGAGUGACUAGUGAUAAUGUGAAGAUGUGUGAUUUUUCUGUUAGCCUAAUAACAAUGGAUAUUUAUUGAGUUCUCACUACAUGUUAAGCAUUUUCUAUAUUAAUUCUCUUAAGCCUCAAAACAACCCUGCCAAAUAGAUAUUAUUUUUUAUUCCCAUUUUAUGCAAAGAAAACUGAGUUUUAAUGAGGUUAAGUAACUUGCCAAACUGCCACAUGCAAGUGUUCACAGUCAGAAUUGCGAUUGCAAAGCUCAUGAUCUAAAGCACUAAGUCACAAUGUUGCUACCAAUGUCACAGUGUUACCACUUUUAUAUUCCUUGAUAUUUUCCUAUGGUAAACAGCUAUUUCCUUUAAUUAUCUUCACAAAUUUUUCAGUUUUCUGGUGAAACUUGCAUGACGGAAUGUAUUUUCAUGUCAGAAAUUGAAAAAAUUGGGGAAUAGAGUUUAUCAGCAUUUUAGGCUUUUUUUUUUUUGGCCAGACUCUGAUGAGACUGUUCACUUUGGUCAGCAUGGAAUCUCAAUUUCUUGAGAAUAAUAAUAGGAGGUGAGGAGAGUUUAAAGGUCAUCUAUUGCAAUAUCCUUUUCUACAGAUGUGGUAAAUCCGUAAAGUUAGAGUGACUUACAGAAGGUCACACAUUUGAAUGUAGCAGAGCUAGGUCCAGAAACCAUGCCCUCAGAGGCUCUUGAACUACUCCCCCCUGCCUAAAUUGAUCAGUGAAAACAUUCUAUCUGGGUGAUCAGGGAGCAUUGUAGCAAGUAGAUUGUUCAAUUUUGCACCUCUUUGGCUUUUCACCUCAAUGUGAAAAACAGCUAGCUACAAACUGACAUCUUUAGUUCCAGAAAUAAUGGUCCAUCCACAAAGAAUACACAAUGGCCCAAGUUACCUGCACAGUGUCUUCAAUGAUAUUCUUAAGUUAUUUGGCAUUCUUAGUUCACCUAAACAAAUCAGAUCUUCUAAUGAGCAUUUUCUUAACCAAUUUUAUGCACAGUAAAUAUUUGUAAGAGUUUCUGCAUGAAUAUUUAAACACAACUGUUUUGAUAGUCCUUAUGUUUUUUGAAAAUAUCAAUGGUUAUUGGAACUUUAAUUGUCCCUAACUCAAGAAUACUUCAGCCAUAAAAGACUAGAAUUGAAGAAACCUCUCUCUUCCUCACCAGCCCCUUUGCCUUCAGUUGGCAUUUAGUAAUGAUUAAUAAAGUGAUCAGCUGGAGAACACAGAAGUUCAAAAGGCAAUUUUGUCUUGAAGGAGUCGGUUAAACUGUGUCUACCAAACGACAAGCAUCUAGGCGUUUGGAAGGGCCUGGAUAUUUGACUGUUGUCAGUUGCCACUUAGAGACCUGGCAUUGUCACAGUUAGACCUCCUGGUGGCUCAGGUGGUCCUGUUUUCAAAAUGAUGAUCAUUGGCCGUAUCUCACACAGUUCUCAUUAAGUGAGCUCAUAUAUAAACAGGUUUUUUUGGUUUUGUUUUUUUUUAAGCGUAGCCAAGCACAAAAUGUAACUUUGUUGACAUUUUAUGAGACUUUGUCAUAUGUCCCCUGAACCCCCAAUAAAAGCAAUGUUGCAUCAA
Hippopotamus amphibius kiboko is the source of this 3673-nucleotide long non-coding RNA. RefSeq lists it as uncharacterized. The transcript has 3 exons. The record is from RefSeq and is a predicted model, not a curated record. Lineage: Eukaryota; Metazoa; Chordata; Mammalia; Artiodactyla; Hippopotamidae.